Malurus melanocephalus (red-backed fairy wren) is the source of this 407-nucleotide long non-coding RNA. RefSeq lists it as uncharacterized. The transcript has 3 exons. The record is from RefSeq and is a predicted model, not a curated record. Lineage: Eukaryota; Metazoa; Chordata; Aves; Passeriformes; Maluridae.
GUUAGACCCACCUUGUAGCUCAGAGGUGACAGCCAGUAAGAAAAAGUACACUAAUUGAGACAUCUCAAGGGAGAAAUAGAAGAAAACUGAAAAGCUGGCUAAUCAAAAGUGGUCUGCAGAAGACUUUAGUGACUUGGAUGGCAGUUCUGAGACUCCCCCAGACUCAGCAAACUUUUCUGAUCCCAGGAACCAAAAAACAAAGAUGUGUCACAGGCCUGACUGAAUAYGGGAGCAGGGAAGACAGAGCUCAUUCAUCAGAAAGCCUGGAAAUCCCCCGAGGAAAGGUGGAAAACCAAUUAAUAUCUCAUCUGCAAGCUCCUAUAGGUUGUCCAAUACCGAACUGUUCCAAAUCAGCCUUGAACACUCAAAGAAAAAUCUGCCUGCUCUGAAUAUUGCCUGAGGAUUUA